RNAcentral lists this unclassified non-coding RNA (112 nucleotides) under Tepidanaerobacter acetatoxydans Re1. RNAcentral describes it as "yybP-ykoY". Lineage: Bacteria; Bacillati; Bacillota; Clostridia; Thermosediminibacterales; Tepidanaerobacteraceae. The record is from RNAcentral.
UGCAAUAAUAAAGGGGAGUAGUUCGGGCUUUUGCCUUUGAAGGCUCAACAUGCUGGCAAGACAUCUUGCCUGGGCUUUCACCAUUCUUGGGAAUGAGACCUUUAUUCCGGGU